AAUAUUGGGCAAUGGACGGAAGUCUGACCCAGCCAUGCCGCGUGCAGGAAGACGGCCUUCUGGGUUGUAAACUGCUUUUAUAUAGGAAGAAAACGCCCAUGCGUGGGAAACUGACGGUACUAGAUGAAUAAGCACCGGCUAACUCCGUGCCAGCAGCCGCGGUAAUACGGAGGGUGCAAGCGUUGUCCGGAGUUAUUGGGUUUAAAGGGUGCGUAGGCGGCCCGUUAAGUCAGUGGUGAAAGCCUCCAGCUCAACUGGAGAACUGCCAUUGAUACUGACGGGCUUGAGUACAGACGAGGUUGGCGGAAUUGAUUGUGUAGCGGUGAAAUGCAUAGAUACAAUCAAGAACUCCGAUUGCGUAGGGAGCUAACUAGGCUGUAACUGACGCUGAGGCACGAAAGCGUGGGGAGCGAACAG
RNAcentral lists this ribosomal RNA (417 nucleotides) under uncultured bacterium. Its description in RNAcentral is "bacterial SSU rRNA". It matches the Rfam family "Bacterial small subunit ribosomal RNA", at positions 360 to 775 of the family's 1533-position model. The record is from RNAcentral.